Molecule: ribosomal RNA, 443 nt
Filed under: uncultured bacterium
Lineage: Bacteria
Description: partial 16S ribosomal RNA
Rfam family: Bacterial small subunit ribosomal RNA
Source: RNAcentral
CCUACGGGAGGCAGCAGUGGGGAAUAUUGGGCAAUGGAGGCAACUCUGACCCAGCAACGCCGCGUGAAUGAUGAAGGUCUUCGGAUUGUAAAGUUCUUUUCUAAGGGAAGAAGAAAGUGACGGUACCUUAGGAAUAAGCCUCGGCUAACUACGUGCCAGCAGCCGCGGUAAUACGUAGGAGGCAAGCGUUAUCCGGAAUGACUGGGCGUAAAGGGUGCGUAGGUGGUUUGACAAGUCAGAUGUGAAAUCCCGUGGCUCAACCACGGAACUGCAUUUGAAACUGUCGGUCUUGAGUAUCGGAGAGGCAGGCGGAAUUCCUAGUGUAGCGGUGAAAUGCGUAGAUAUUAGGAGGAACACCAGUGGCGAAGGCGGCCUGCUGGACGACAACUGACGGUGAGGCGCGAAAGCGUGGGGAGCAAACAGGAUUAGAUACCCGAGUAGUC